GCCCUGGCUCCAAGGCCGGUGGCAGGAGGGCGGCUGCUCGUUUGCUGCCGGCUUUAAUUAAUGAGGGCAGCAAAGCCAGGCUUUGCUCUCUCCUCAUGUUCACAUUUAUGGCAAAUCAGGACGUGGCUCCCUCCUGAUAAAUGGGCUGAGAGGGCUCUGUCUAAUUCCUGGGUGAUAAAAACACCAAUUGCUGACAUUUCCCUCUGUUUUCCCUUCCUCUGACAUUUCAUUUAGGAGAAAACAACGCCAGCCACUCCAAAUGUGCUCUCAUUGACAUUUGCUGGCCCUGAUUAAGCCAGAGUUUGACAGGAAGGGGAUGUCCCUGUCCCCAGGAUCCCAAAAUCCCCCCAGGGAAUUCCUCCCAGGACAGGCUGAGCUGCUCCCAGCUCAGGAAUCACCUCAGCUCACCCCACCCAGCCCAAAUUAAACCAACCCCUCACUGCAGCCCGGCAGGAAAUCCAAUUUAUAGUCAUGCUAGGGACUCCAAUUACCACAGCCAUUAACAAUUUGUUAAUGAGUCAAUUAACAUGCUUUGGGAUCUAUGGAGAAAGGCCAUUAUAAAUAUGAUGGCAUCAAAUACUGCACAAAUAAAGAUUUGAGUGUGCCAGGGGCUGCUGCUGGGUGCAGGUGGGACCAGCUCCACUGAGAUCCUUCCCUGCCAGGACAGCCUGGAAGCUGCUGGGAUGGCCAGGAAUGCUGCUGGGAUGGCCAAAACCCUCCCAGGAUGGACACAAACCCUCCCAGGAUGGACACAAACCCCCCAAGGAUGGACACAAACCCCCCCAAGGAUGGACACAAACCCCCCAAGGAUGGACACAAACCCUCCUGGCACUCUCCAGGAUCCCAAUUUAUUCCAGGGCAGCUUCCUGAGCUUUAUCCCUCCUCCAGCACCUCCAGGGUCACCAGAAUUCCCAAAAUCCAACAUUCCCAAAUCCCAUCCUGGAUCAGCUUCACCCACAGCCCCCUCUGGGCACAAAAUUGGGAUGAGAGGACACCGAGUUUAACCCUGGGAAUGUUUUCCCAUCAUCUGCCUCAAAAAAGGAAGGGAAUUGUUGGGAGCACCAAGAGCAUCUCGAGAGUGGGGUGACAUUGUCACCGCUGCUUCCAUGGAAACCGCGUUUGUUUCUCGGAGCUGUUCCAGCAUAAUUAAUAAAAACCUCCCCUGCACGUGGGCCCUGCUCUGA
This 1184-nucleotide long non-coding RNA is filed under the name Cyanistes caeruleus (blue tit). RNAcentral describes it as "lncRNA (ENSCCEG00000016784.1)". The record is from RNAcentral. Lineage: Eukaryota; Metazoa; Chordata; Aves; Passeriformes; Paridae.